GCCCGAAGUCUAGCUCAAUUGGAUAGAGCGUCAGAAUCUUACUGUGAAGGUUGGGGGUUCGAAAUCCUCGAUGGGCU
Sparassis crispa is the source of this 77-nucleotide non-coding RNA. The record is from the annotation of a RefSeq genome assembly. Lineage: Eukaryota; Fungi; Basidiomycota; Agaricomycetes; Polyporales; Sparassidaceae.